RNAcentral lists this ribosomal RNA (518 nucleotides) under uncultured bacterium. Its description in RNAcentral is "bacterial SSU rRNA". It matches the Rfam family "Bacterial small subunit ribosomal RNA", at positions 29 to 526 of the family's 1533-position model. The record is from RNAcentral.
AACGAACGCUGGCGGCGUGGUUGAUACAUGCAAGUCGAACGGGAAGAGGGGGUUCGCCUCCUUUGUACCGUGGCGGACGGGUGAGUAACACUUGGUCAAUCUGCCCGAGAGAAGGGGAUAAUCAGGGGAAACCUUGCGUAAUACCCUAUAAGCCCACGGCGGGGCAUCCCGCAGGGGGAAAACGGUAGGUCUUCGGACCCUCCGCUCUCGGAUGAGAUCAAGCUCUAUCAGCUAGUUGGUGGGGUAACGGCCUACCAAGGCUUCGACGGAUAGCCGGCCUGAGAGGGUGGACGGCCACACUGGGACUGAGACACGGCCCAGACUCCUACGGGAGGCAGCAGUGCUGAAUUAUUCGCCAAUGCGCGAAAGCGUGACGGUGCGACGCCGCGUGCGGGAUGAAGGCCUUCGGGUUGUAAACCGCUGUCAAGGUGCAGAAAACGCUGUCGGUUAAUAGCCGGCAGCCUGAUCCCACCUGAAGGAAGCACAGGCUAAUCUCGUGCCAGCAGCCGCAGUAACAC